This 65-nucleotide transfer RNA is filed under the name Heterocerus fenestratus. Its description in RNAcentral is "tRNA-Gly". Lineage: Eukaryota; Metazoa; Arthropoda; Insecta; Coleoptera; Heteroceridae. The record is from RNAcentral.
ACUUAUAUAGUAUAAAAAUUACUAUUGACUUCCAAUCAAUUAAUCUAUUAUAAAUAGUAUAAGUA